GAUGAACGCUGGCGGCGUGCUUAACACAUGCAAGUCGAACGGUGAAGCCAAGCUUGCUUGGUGGAUCAGUGGCGAACGGGUGAGUAACACGUGAGCAACCUGCCCUGGACUCUGGGAUAAGCGCUGGAAACGGCGUCUAAUACUGGAUAUGAGCCUCUUCCGCAUGGUGGGGGUUGGAAAGAUUUUUUGGUCUGGGAUGGGCUCGCGGCCUAUCAGCUUGUUGGUGAGGUAAUGGCUCACCAAGGCGUCGACGGGUAGCCGGCCUGAGAGGGUGACCGGCCACACUGGGACUGAGACACGGCCCAGACUCCUACGGGAGGCAGCAGUGGGGAAUAUUGCACAAUGGGCGAAAGCCUGAUGCAGCAACGCCGCGUGAGGGAUGACGGCCUUCGGGCUGUAAACCUCUUUUAGCAGGGAAGAAGCGAAAGUGACGGUACCUGCAGAAAAAGCGCCGGCUAACUACGUG
This 466-nucleotide ribosomal RNA is filed under the name uncultured bacterium. Its description in RNAcentral is "partial 16S ribosomal RNA". It matches the Rfam family "Bacterial small subunit ribosomal RNA", at positions 28 to 507 of the family's 1533-position model. The record is from RNAcentral.